CUUUACAUUAUAAUUAGGAACCUCGUGUAUUUACAAGCCCCGGAUCAACUCUUAGCAUCCAAAUCGUCAUACUUCUCGUCCGGUGAGUUCAUACCCCUACGCCUUUUUCACUGUUUUUAACUGUUUUCAGGGGGGGAAUACAAGCAAAUCAAAACUGUUUUCAAAUCAUAACAUUUAUGUGUUUCAAAUAAUAUCUGGCAAUCUUAUAAACUCUUUUACUCCUUAUGUAUUAUGUUGAGCAUAAGGAAUGAUUUAUCAAUUACAACUAAAUGGAUUUUAGUUAAGAAAAUAACCAAACUAAU
This 302-nucleotide long non-coding RNA is filed under the name Lactuca sativa (garden lettuce). RNAcentral describes it as "long non-coding RNA (LSAT_LNC004643)". Lineage: Eukaryota; Viridiplantae; Streptophyta; Magnoliopsida; Asterales; Asteraceae. The record is from RNAcentral.